UACCUGGUUGAUCCUGCCAGUAKUCAUAUGCUUGUCUC
Molecule: ribosomal RNA, 38 nt
Filed under: Falcataria toona
Lineage: Eukaryota; Viridiplantae; Streptophyta; Magnoliopsida; Fabales; Fabaceae
Description: partial small subunit ribosomal RNA
Source: RNAcentral